GAUCCCCAGGAACCAGGGGAGACCAGACCCCUGUCCCUCCUCUAAGCUUUGGAGUUACUAUUAAGCAAAAACAAACAGCUUAAAACUGCCAGGCAUUCAAGAGCAGUCCCUAAAGCCAAGACAGUAGUGAUGAUUGCCGUGGCCAGUUCCAGCUUUUGACGAAGUCACGUGUCAUCCUGCCAACAGCCAGAGAGGCAAACAGGCCAGCAUACUCCCACCCCUACUUCCCCCAGUUCCUGGUCCCAGAUGCCCUCAGAACCCUUGAAGGCAGGAGCCAUUUGAAAUUUAAGAUGUACUAAGCUGCCAA
Non-coding RNA from Heterocephalus glaber (naked mole-rat), 307 nucleotides. NCBI's taxonomy places the organism in Eukaryota, Metazoa, Chordata, Mammalia, Rodentia, Bathyergidae. The record is from RefSeq and is a predicted model, not a curated record.